UUUAAGACAAUCUGACGAUCAAAAUCGCAGGCAAGAAAAAGCUCAGGCCAAUUAAAGAAGUGAUAAUAGCAAGGCCUAAAGAAGGGGCUAACAUUGCAUAUGUGCCCGUAACAAAUGCAAUCACCAUUGCUGCCAUGGACCAUAAGGUGAACCAAAUGGAAGCGUGGAACAAAUCCUCAUUGAAAUCUUUAGUUUCUUCAGUUACAUAAGACAACCAGAAGUGAGUAACGACGGCAGAAAGAGAAAAGGCCAUGGCAAUGGAAUCUGCUACCAUAAAUAAUUGAAAAGCUUUAUUUCUCCUCAGGAUUGCAGUUCCAUUUUCGCUUCUAUAACCGCCAGGAAUGGUGAAAGCUGCUGCGAAGGCUACUGUUGCUAUGAGUGCAGCCACUACCAAAUGUGAUGCUCUUGUAUCCUUGUAAUUUUCUUUAUUAACAUACUUUUGCACUUCUCUUAUGAAUAUAACACCUUUUGAAUAUUGUCCUCUUCCAACUUCUUUGGAUAAUUUUUGGAUUUCUUCCUGUAAUUAAUUUACAUUUGAAUAUUAAUUAAUUGCGUAAAAAAAAUUAAAUUUAAUAAUUUAGUUGAAAGAACAAAUUAAAUAAUUACCUUGAGCUCAGGAUAGCCAUAAUUAAAAAUGUGUCUGACACUAACAUUUUGUUUGUUGACAGCGUCAUAGUUGGCUUGAGUACUCCUAUUCAUAACAUCAUGGAAUUCAGUUGGACGGACUGCAGCAAGCACAUGGAGAGGAGUGUUUCCCUCGGCAUCCCCCUCAUCUAUAAGACUCCUCGCUAACGGAUUAUUUUCAAGAAGAUUUCUUAGUUGUCCAACAUGAAAACUAACCAUAGCAUAAUGGAGAAAAUUCCAUCCCCUGUUAUCGACCAGUUCGCAACAUUCUGGAUUUUUAGAAAUAAUUGCUUCAACUAUUUUGGCAUGCCCUUGGCCCGCUGCCAAAUGAAGAGCUGUCAUCUUUCCAUCUUUGUCAGCAAUGUUCGAAGCGGAUUGAUCAGUUUCUAAUAACAAAUUUAUCGUCCUGUAAUUUCCAUGAUAUGCAACGUAAUGAAUUGGAGUCCACCCAUAUUGAUCUGUUUCUUUGAUCAGAUUCUUCUUUUUCUCAAGUAAUUUUCGUAAUGCAGUACCAACUGAGAAUACAGAAGAUAAAUAAAAUAAUAAUUAAAUUUUUUAAUAAAAGUAAAUAUCUAGAAAUGGCCUAAAUUUGGGGGCUAUUUAUGUUGGAGAUAUGAGAAAAAAAAUAGCUUUUUUAAAUUACAAAUCAGCCAGAAGUCUAGAACAACAAUGCCAACACCAAUCACACGAUGAGUGAUGAAUAAUGGCUUCAGAUCGGUAACUUUGUUAUUUAACAAAAUAAAAACUUGCAAUUAUUUCCCUGAUUUUGCAUCUAGAAAUAACAAUUUUUGCAAAAUUCACUAAGACACGUUUGAAGCACUAUUCUAAAGACCAAUUCGGUGAAUCUAAUUAUCCUAAAACCAACUUUCCCUAUCUUAGUUAUCCAAAAGACCAAUUUUCAGUACAUUUACAAUUCUAAAGACUAGUUUUUUUAGGAAGAUUUCACAGUAGAAAAAUUAACUCCUUCAUAACAACGCUUAAUUUCUUCAUAAAUUGAGAGUAUUUUUGUCAUUAUUCAGAAAAUUAUAUCUGACAAUUUAUCCUGAUUAAAUUGAUGGCAAUUAAUAAUUUAUUAAUGAAUUAAAAGGGUGUAUUUACUUGAACAUUAUGGAAAGAAUCUAUUAAUAGAAAGAUAUCAAUAUUGAAAUUCCUACUGAAAGGGUAUAACUAAACUUACCGAAAGGAAAUUCCAUUGCUGCAGCAUGUAAAGCCGUCUUUCUGUUGGGGCCUUCAUGAGACACUGAUGUGCUGUUUACAAAUAAGGCAAGCACCAUAUUAGAAGACCGAUAAUCAGCAGCCAUGUAGAGUGGCGUUUUGCCGUAAUUAUUUGCAGAAUAUUGAUAAUCAGGGUCUUCUUUCGUCAGUAAUUCCACCACAUCGACGUUUUGGUGACACACUGCCUCGUGGAGUGCUGUAUUCUUCUCAUUAUUUGUCAUCCUAAUCAUCUGCCUGGCAGCUCCUACCCUGCUCUCUAGCUCUUCAUUUUCAUGUUGAGGUAGUUUUGCUCUUUCCACAAGAACCCUCACUAUAUCAGAAUGGCCAAAUUUUGCCGCAACGUGAAGUGGAGUAUCGCCUUUGGCAUUAACUUGUAGUAGCAGCGAUGGGCAUUUCUCAAGUAUUUCUGCUACAAACUUCGUUGACACGUUUUCUCUUUCUUGGGAUAUGAUAUUGAUAUGCAGGAUUGUGUUUUUGGUCUUUGCUGUUAACAAUCUCUCAAUUACCUCUCUUGCCAUAUCUUUGAAGGGCUCCAAAUUUCCCGCAGCUGCGGCUUUGAACAAAUUUGGGUCUAUUUGCGACUGACUGAUCUCGCCAUUGUUGUCCAAUAAUGAAGCUUCCUCAAUCUCAUUGGAAACAGAAUUCAUGUCGGCGAAGUUGAUCUAUUAGAUAAGGGUACCCAGUAUCUCGGAGGUACUCAUAGAUCUUCCUCUAAACCUUACAUGUAUGUAUAUAUGACUUGAAAAGUGUAGUAUUUUUCACACGUCUUAAAUUCUUGCUUUUUUGACAGGGUAACGACACCGAAAAAAUACGGGUCGGGCCAAUCCGGAUGAGAGUGGAGGCUGUUCCGGGCCAAGCCAAAUUAAUAUGGCGAUUUGCUCAAAUCCAAUGAGAGGUAGCCAGGUGGAAGAAGUAGGUGUGGGAGCAUUAAAUGGAGAGAGAUUGCAGAAGAUCGACUGUAGCAAGAUAGCAGGUGAAACAGAGAUGAAGCAGAUGCAUAGGGAAGAGAGCAUUGUGGAUAGGGAUGGCAGAAUAAUCCGGACCCGGACGAAUCAGGAUAAUCCGGUCCGGGUUGAAUCCGUAUUGCAGUUAUAUAAAAUACGGAUCCAGAUUUAAUUUUAUGAACCCGGAUGAUAUCCGGUUCGGGUCAGGGUUUAGGUGAACCCGCAUAUCCGAAACCCGGACCCGGAUAUCUUUCAUUUUAAUAUUAAAUUUUUAAUAAUUUUUAAUAUAAAUAGAAAAGAAAGGAAGGAAAUAAUAAUGCGCACAGCCGGCCCUAAUUUUGCAAUUCGCAUUCCUCUUCUCAAAUCUCACAUCCGCCGGCCGCCAACCAUAUUUCCUUUUCUCUUCAUCAAAUCAAGUCGUCGUCGUCAUCACUUCGGCCAUUUUCUCUUCUCUGUGUUCAUUAUCAUCAUCAGUUGCUGUGUUCCUCUUCUCUGCACUGCUGCGACCACCAUUCCUUCUCAAUCGCUCAACUGUUGCAAAAUCGCCUGGAUUAGCUUCCACCUCUAAGCCCGCCUGUGCUUCUCGUUUGUCAUAUUCCAUGGUGGGGGCUGUCUUUGAUGGCAUUGCAUGGUGGAUUUGGGUGGGCCACGGUCUUUGAUGCCAUUACAAUUCAAAAUUAAUUGUAAUUUUCGUGCAUCCACUUCCUAUAUUAGGUUAUUAAUUUAUUGAAUUUUGUUGGUAGUAUUUGCAACGCCUUCAUAUUAAGAUCUAUCCUGUGUACCUGCCUGAAUUUCACGGAAAAAAAGGUUAAUCGGUUUUAAUUUGUGAUUGAAUUGUAGUUUCCAAUUUUUUUUUUCAUUUUUUAAUCAUAAUUCAAAAGACAAUCCGGGUUUCAAACCCGGAAUUCGGGACCCUUAAUUUUUCCGGGUUGAACCCGGACCGGACCCGCAUGUAAAAAAUCCGGAUUAUAUGUGGGUCCGGUAAAAAGAAAAUGACAUCCGGGUCCGGAACCAAGAAGACCGAACCCAGAACCGGACCCGGAUUUUGCCAUCCUACAUAUGGCUUCUUUUGUUUUUUGUUUUUUGUUUUUUUUAUUUGUUGGCUGCAUAUGGUGGGCUCCACCAUAUGCAGCCACUCGUGGCCUUUGGAUUUAAAUCCAAAUGCCACUAGCCUUUAUCCCGGAAACUGUUCCAAUCCGAGAGUCAGAUUGGAACAGUUCCCAUAUAUAUAAUUGUUGUUGCUUUCUGCUUUAUGCGGCCUUCAAAUGUGGAUGCCCACAAAAAACAAGGAUGCAUUUGGAAUUAUUUUUCAAUUUUUGUUUUCAUAAAAUAAAAAUGAAAAUGAAAUACUACUUUUAUAUUUAUUUUUAAAAUUUAAAAAUACGUUCGAUAUCAUUUUCAAAAAUAAUAUUAAAAACAAGAAAAAAGUAAAAUAUAUUUUGUAGGAAUAUUUUAAAGUAUUAUUAUUGGAAUAAUUUCCAUUAGCUAAAUAUUAAUUAAGUAGUAUUUAAUUAUUUUUAUUACUUAAAUAGUUUGAUUAUUUUAAUUUUAAGAAUAAAUUAGGUGAUGUUCACACACACACACACAUCAUAGAUUUUCUUUACUCAUGUCUAAUUAAAGAUUUCUAAUGACGCAUUAUACAAAGAGAUAAGUUUUUUUAAUUUUUUUUUGACAAAGUAAUCAAGAUUUUAUUCCAUCAACAUAAGAAAGUACAAAUAAUUUGAAAUAUUAAAUUUGAUUUUGACUUCCUCUCACCAAUUCAAUCUAAUUAUUAACAGCAAAGUAGACCGGCCUGUUUCUCAAAUUUGAUUUUCAUUAAAACAUCAGUGAUCAAUGUACAAUUAAAAUAAUGAUUCAUUAUUAGCAAAGAUUGAGUAAAUUAAUUAAUGUUUAUGUUAAAUGAAAAUCAAUCAUUUUAUUGAUAAACAAAGAUGGUGACUCGCUACAAUCAAUUACUUUUGUCCUACUUAUUUAAGACAAUCUGACGAUCAAAAUCGCAGGCAAGAAAAAGCUCAGGCCAAUUAAAGAAGUGAUAAUAGCAAGGCCUAAAGAAGGGGCUAACAUUGCAUAUGUGCCCGUAACAAAUGCAAUCACCAUUGCUGCCAUGGACCAUAAGGUGAACCAAAUGGAAGCGUGGAACAAAUCCUCAUUGAAAUCUUUAGUUUCUUCAGUUACAUAAGACAACCAGAAGUGAGUAACGACGGCAGAAAGAGAAAAGGCCAUGGCAAUGGAAUCUGCUACCAUAAAUAAUUGAAAAGCUUUAUUUCUCCUCAGGAUUGCAGUUCCAUUUUCGCUUCUAUAACCGCCAGGAAUGGUGAAAGCUGCUGCGAAGGCUACUGUUGCUAUGAGUGCAGCCACUACCAAAUGUGAUGCUCUUGUAUCCUUGUAAUUUUCUUUAUUAACAUACUUUUGCACUUCUCUUAUGAAUAUAACACCUUUUGAAUAUUGUCCUCUUCCAACUUCUUUGGAUAAUUUUUGGAUUUCUUCCUGUAAUUAAUUUACAUUUGAAUAUUAAUUAAUUGCGUAAAAAAAAUUAAAUUUAAUAAUUUAGUUGAAAGAACAAAUUAAAUAAUUACCUUGAGCUCAGGAUAGCCAUAAUUAAAAAUGUGUCUGACACUAACAUUUUGUUUGUUGACAGCGUCAUAGUUGGCUUGAGUACUCCUAUUCAUAACAUCAUGGAAUUCAGUUGGACGGACUGCAGCAAGCACAUGGAGAGGAGUGUUUCCCUCGGCAUCCCCCUCAUCUAUAAGACUCCUCGCUAACGGAUUAUUUUCAAGAAGAUUUCUUAGUUGUCCAACAUGAAAACUAACCAUAGCAUAAUGGAGAAAAUUCCAUUCCUUGUUAUCGACCAGCUCGUAACAUUCUGGAUUUUUAGAAAUAAUUGCUUCAACUAUUUUGGCAUGCCCUUGGCCCGCUGCCAAAUGAAGAGCUGUCAUCUUUCCAUCUUUGUCAGCAAUGUUCGAAGCGGAUUGAUCAGUUUCUAAUAACAAAUUUAUCGUCCUGUAAUUUCCAUGAUAUGCAACGUAAUGAAUUGGAGUCCACCCAUAUUGAUCUGUUUCUUUGAUCAGAUUCUUCUUUUUCUCAAGUAAUUUUCGUAAUGCAGUACCAACUGAGAAUACAGAAGAUAAAUAAAAUAAUAAUUAAAUUUUUUAAUAAAAGUAAAUAUCUAGAAAUGGCCUAAAUUUGGGGGCUAUUUAUGUUGGAGAUAUGAGAAAAAAAAUAGCUUUUUUAAAUUACAAAUCAGCCAGAAGUCUAGAACAACAAUGCCAACACCAAUCACACGAUGAGUGAUGAAUAAUGGCUUCAGAUCGGUAACUUUGUUAUUUAACAAAAUAAAAACUUGCAAUUAUUUCCCUGAUUUUGCAUCUAGAAAUAACAAUUUUUGCAAAAUUCACUAAGACACGUUUGAAGCACUAUUCUAAAGACCAAUUCGGUGAAUCUAAUUAUCCUAAAACCAACUUUCCCUAUCUUAGUUAUCCAAAAGACCAAUUUUCAGUACAUUUACAAUUCUAAAGACUAGUUUUUUUAGGAAGAUUUCACAGUAGAAAAAUUAACUCCUUCAUAACAACGCUUAAUUUCUUCAUAAAUUGAGAGUAUUUUUGUCAUUAUUCAGAAAAUUAUAUCUGACAAUUUAUCCUGAUUAAAUUGAUGGCAAUUAAUAAUUUAUUAAUGAAUUAAAAGGGUGUAUUUACUUGAACAUUAUGGAAAGAAUCUAUUAAUAGAAAGAUAUCAAUAUUGAAAUUCCUACUGAAAGGGUAUAACUAAACUUACCGAAAGGAAAUUCCAUUGCUGCAGCAUGUAAAGCCGUCUUUCUGUUGGGGCCUUCAUGAGACACUGAUGUGCUGUUUACAAAUAAGGCAAGCACCAUAUUAGAAGACCGAUAAUCAGCAGCCAUGUAGAGUGGCGUUUUGCCGUAAUUAUUUGCAGAAUAUUGAUAAUCAGGGUCUUCUUUCGUCAGUAAUUCCACCACAUCGACGUUUUGGUGACACACUGCCUCGUGGAGUGCUGUAUUCUUCUCAUUAUUUGUCAUCCUAAUCAUCUGCCUGGCAGCUCCUACCCUGCUCUCUAGCUCUUCAUUUUCAUGUUGAGGUAGUUUUGCUCUUUCCACAAGAACCCUCACUAUAUCAGAAUGGCCAAAUUUUGCCGCAACGUGAAGUGGAGUAUCGCCUUUGGCAUUAACUUGUAGUAGCAGCGAUGGGCAUUUCUCAAGUAUUUCUGCUACAAACUUCGUUGACACGUUUUCUCUUUCUUGGGAUAUGAUAUUGAUAUGCAGGAUUGUGUUUUUGGUCUUUGCUGUUAACAAUCUCUCAAUUACCUCUCUUGCCAUAUCUUUGAAGGGCUCCAAAUUUCCCGCAGCUGCGGCUUUGAACAAAUUUGGGUCUAUUUGCGACUGACUGAUCUCGCCAUUGUUGUCCAAUAAUGAAGCUUCCUCAAUCUCAUUGGAAACAGAAUUCAUGUCGGCGAAGUUGAUCUAUUAGAUAAGGGUACCCAGUAUCUCGGAGGUACUCAUAGAUCUUCCUCUAAACCUUACAUGUAUGUAUAUAUGACUUGAAAAGUGUAGUAUUUUUCACACGUCUUAAAUUCUUGCUUUUUUGACAGGGUAACGACACCGAAAAAAUACGGGUCGGGCCAAUCCGGAUGAGAGUGGAGGCUGUUCCGGGCCAAGCCAAAUUAAUAUGGCGAUUUGCUCAAAUCCAAUGAGAGGUAGCCAGGUGGAAGAAGUAGGUGUGGGAGCAUUAAAUGGAGAGAGAUUGCAGAAGAUCGACUGUAGCAAGAUAGCAGGUGAAACAGAGAUGAAGCAGAUGCAUAGGGAAGAGAGCAUUGUGGAUAGGGAUGGCAGAAUAAUCCGGACCCGGACGAAUCAGGAUAAUCCGGUCCGGGUUGAAUCCGUAUUGCAGUUAUAUAAAAUACGGAUCCAGAUUUAAUUUUAUGAACCCGGAUGAUAUCCGGUUCGGGUCAGGGUUUAGGUGAACCCGCAUAUCCGAAACCCGGACCCGGAUAUCUUUCAUUUUAAUAUUAAAUUUUUAAUAAUUUUUAAUAUAAAUAGAAAAGAAAGGAAGGAAAUAAUAAUGCGCACAGCCGGCCCUAAUUUUGCAAUUCGCAUUCCUCUUCUCAAAUCUCACAUCCGCCGGCCGCCAACCAUAUUUCCUUUUCUCUUCAUCAAAUCAAGUCGUCGUCGUCAUCACUUCGGCCAUUUUCUCUUCUCUGUGUUCAUUAUCAUCAUCAGUUGCUGUGUUCCUCUUCUCUGCACUGCUGCGACCACCAUUCAUUCUCAAUCGUUCAACUCUUGCAAAAUCGCCUGGAUUAGCUUCCACCUCUAAGCCCGCCUGUGCUUCUCGUUUGUCAUAUUCCAUGGUGGGGGCUGUCUUUGAUGGCAUUGCAUGGUGGAUUUGGGUGGGCCACGGUCUUUGAUGCCAUUACAAUUCAAAAUUAAUUGUAAUUUUCGUGCAUCCACUUCCUAUAUUAGGUUAUUAAUUUAUUGAAUUUUGUUGGUAGUAUUUGCAACGCCUUCAUAUUAAGAUCUAUCCUGUGUACCUGCCUGAAUUUCACGGAAAAAAAGGUUAAUCGGUUUUAAUUUGUGAUUGAAUUGUAGUUUCCAAUUUUUUUUUUCAUUUUUUAAUCAUAAUUCAAAAGACAAUCCGGGUUUCAAACCCGGAAUUCGGGACCCUUAAUUUUUCCGGGUUGAACCCGGACCGGACCCGCAUGUAAAAAAUCCGGGUUAUAUGCGGGUCCGGUAAAAAGAAAAUGACAUCCGGGUUCGGAACCGGGAAGGCCGAACCCGGAACCGGACCCGGAUUUUGCCAUCCCUAAUUGUGGAGGGAAAAAUGAAAGGAAAAAAGCGGGAAAACAAGUUGAUAGCAGCACAGGAUAUUAUGGGCUCAAUGGGCCGAGUAGAAAAUAUUGAAGAAAGAAACAAAGAGGGCCAACAACAGGGAAGUAUUAUCGGAAACGAAAAAGAGACAAACAGACAGUUAAAAGUAUCGACAUUAAUUCUCACUCUUUUGACAAGCCAAGAAUCAACAUUUUUAAAUUUUAACCUUGAUUUCUUCCUCAUGCUCUUUUAGUUAAACAAAUAAGAUAAAUUGAGAUUAGUCAUUCUCUUUGGCAAACUAUUCAAUUUCUCAACUGUGGGUGCUUUAUGUUUAAUUAAUAAUUAUUAAACUGUGGCGCAAUAUUUUCAAGAACUCAGACAAAAAAAUAUAUAUACCAAUUAAUUAUUAAAGUUGACCAUGGUUUCUUCUUUUGUUUUGUCCUUAACAUUGAAAAAGUCUGCAUCGCCAUAUCCUCAAUCUUUAAAUACUGCAGCCUUCCUUAUCACAUUUCGAUCGGAUUCCAUAUACAGUUCUGCUCUUUUUGUUUGUUGGGUAAAGAAUCAAGUGACUCUUAAGUGACUGCAAACAAUAAAAUAAUAGGGGAAUCCUCUAUGAGUACAAUUGAUAGUUCAUUAAUUCUACAAAAGAAAAGUGAUUCAACGUUGCCUCUUAGCCCUCUUGUUACUUGUUAAAUCACUUCCUAAAUGAUACUAUAUGGAAUAUGUCAUUCAUGUACUAAUUAUAGACGUUUAUACGUUUUGUAUGACAGAAAAACAUCUAAGUGAUUUAAAAUCACUUAAUUAAUUAACUAUUAUUUAUGUAUAUGGAAAUUCUUACCUUAGUUUAACAUAUGUUCUUUAUUCCUCCACCAACCUUUAAUUGAUUCACACUAUUGGUAGGCAAGCAUAAUAACUACAGGGUACAUGUAAAAAACAUGCAAUGAUGACUAUUGAGAUGCAAUGAUGAUUUUUAAAAUAGACAUAAUAAUUGCCACCACCCCCCACUUCAUUUAUUUUCUUCCUAUUGACACCUACUACUCUUUUUCAUUUAUUUUCCUCUCCACUUUAUUUAUUUUUUUCCUACGGACACCUACUACUCUUUUUCAUUUAUUUUCUUCUCACCAGAUAACUACUACCCUUCUUUAUUUAUUUUUCCUUUGACUUUCUUUUAUAAUUAUUACAAUAGCUUAUGUAUUUAUAUCAUCGUAAAAUAGACAAUAAAGAAUGAAUGAAAAUCAUUUUUUUCUUCCCUUUAGCUUUUUAAUACGAGCAUCACAAUGGUUCCAGUGAGACAAUCUUAUUAUGCAAUUCCCAUCCUACAACUUCAAAGUUUUACAAUUGUUUAGUUUGUGCAAAAUAUAUUUACACAUUCAGCUGUGUCAAGUCCACUGACGCCUCUAGUUCAAAGUUACAUCUCUUCCCAUAUCCUUGAAAGGUUCAGUAUUUUAACUGCAGCUGUGAAAUCAGGGUCCAUUUGAUAUGAUUCAAUAUAGUUUCGUUAAAAGCUUCAAUCAGUCAGAACAAUGGUACCAAUCAGCAAACACAAUGGUGUUGAACAACGACUUGAAAGCAGUAACUUUAUUAUUUAAGGGUUGCAUCUAAAUGCUACAAGUUUAUCUGGAGGCGAAUAGAGUUUUUGUGCAUCUAUCUGUUGACAUUUUGCUGACCUGGAUAAUUUUUUAAUUAAUGUUUACUUACUCUUUUAAUUGGUAAGAGAAAUGUUCAAUCAAUCGUGGGGUGAGAGACCGCUGAGAAAAACAAAGGCAAAACGUUGUAGUGUUUUCAAUGGAAAAAAUACAACCCUUGAAAAUUGGAACUCCAAGAUAAACAAAAGGAAAAGAGCCUUCCGAGAAACCUAAGAUAUCAGCGACAGUAUUUUUUCGAGAAGCAGCUGCCUUGACCAGAAAAAAAUGUUAGAUCUUCUUUUUCUCCGGUUAAUUUUUUUAACAUAUCAACUAAGACAGAAAGAUAAGUUGCACAAUUACGAAACGUAUUCAUAUUAAUAAAUAUACAGAAUGACACAAAUUUGUUGGGCCAUUUACGUUGGAAAUAUGAGGCAAAAUAACUUUUUGAAGGAUCAGCUCAGCCGGAACAACAACACCCAUCAAAAAACUCAACGGUGAUGGACAAUAGCUUGACAACAGUAUUCUUUGUUAUUUAAAAAAGAAAGUUACAAUCAUAACCUUGUGGCUGCAGCCGGAAACCAAAUAGUUGCUUCCUACAACUAAGAAUUUGUUAUCCGACCAACGAAUACGAACUCAGAGAAAAUUCCUCAAGGGGGGUGCAAAGCAUUGUCCUAAAGGGUAAUUUUCACUAUACUACAACAUCGGACGCUGUCAUAUCUUUGUAAUCAUAUUUAGGAUCGUCAAGAUAAUCUUUUGACCAGGCAGGGUUAGAUUAUGAAUUUAUGAAAUUAUUGUAUAUGUUUGUGUGAACGUAACAAAAAAAAUAUUCAAAAGAUAUUGCAACAUCGAGAAACUUGCUCUAAAGAAAGUAAUUAAAAAGAUAAAUUACUAUUUUUAAUUUUGAAUUUUAAAGGUUCCAAAAAAGAAUAACUUAACUAUAAAUAUUAUUUUAUUUCUGUUAAUAAAGAUUGAUUUAAGGACAUACUUGAGAAAAAAUGAUUUAAAAAAUAAAAAAAAACCAUAAAAUUUUAAGGCAUGUUGAAUAAUUAUUCGGACUAGCCCUGUCAAGUAAACACAGCACGUGCCACUGCAUUUGGAUCUGGUCUUAGCAAUAUAGCACUGUUCUUAUGAAUAUGGCACUGUCUGGAUAUUGUCCUCUGCCAACAUCUUUGGGCAACUUUUGGAUUUUCUCCUGUAAUUUGAAUUUGAAUAUGAAUUAAUUGCAUAAACUGAAAAAAAGAAAAAAGAGUAGGACUAUUAGCACCCCUCCAAAUAGCUCUUAAAAUUCCUUUAAGUAUUUUACGAUUUUAACCUUUAUUAAAAUUACAUAAUAGGCCAAUUUCUAAGAAAAUCUCCACUCAAAAGUCAAAUAAUUUUUUUUUUCCUUAUAAAAUCUAAAAUUUUAGAAAUUAAAAAGGUUGCUUUUUCCUUUAAUUUUCGAGUAAGGAAUUUACCACCGAUAGCUACUAUGGAGAGAAUAAAAACCUAUUAUUUUUUCUUUAAAUAGGAGAGACCCUAUUAUUGAAAUGAGGUUUAAUAAUAAAAAUUAGAGAAUGGGGUUUACACAAUAAGUUUUAAUUAAGGGUAUUUUUAUUAUUAAUGGAGGUGUUCAAAGAAUUAUUUAAUUUUUUUAAAACAUUUAAUGGGGUUAAUUAAGAAAAGGGGUGUUAAGAGAUAUUUAGAGGGGUGCUAAUAGUCCCACUCAAAAAAAGAAAAAAAAAAAAAGAAAUAAAGUAAUGAAAAAGAAAGCUGGAUUAUAAGUUGAAAGAAUUAACAAAUUAAUUACCUUAGAGCGUAGGAUAGCCAUAUUUCAAAAGGUGUCUACCAAAAACAUUUUGCUCGUUGACAUAGUGAUCAUUGGCUUGAGUCUUCCUAAUAAUAUAGAGUUCUCCUUGGCAUCCCCCUCAUUUAUAAGACUCCUCGAUAACGGAUUUUUUAGGAAAGUUUUUAAAUCAUAAAAAAAAAAAAAACUGACCAUUGCAUAAUGAAAAAAAUUCCAUCCCCUGUUAUCGAACAGUUCAUAACAUUUUGCUGCAAGAGAAAGAAUUCUUUCAUUUGCUUUAGCAAGCCCUCGGCCCGCUGCCAAAUGAAGAGCUGUCAUCUUUUGAUCUUUGUCAAAAAUGUUUGAAGCAGUUGGAUCAAUUUCUAAUAGCACAUAUAUCUGUUGAUAUUGAUUAUGAUAUGCAGCGUAAUGAAUUGGAGUCUACAAAUAUUGGUCUGUUUCUUUGAUCAGACUUCCUUUUUUCAAAUAAUUUUUGAAUCGCACGAUAAUCCAUUUCUGAGUGUACAGAGCCAAAAGAUAAAUAAAAUUAUAAUUCAAAUUGAAUUUUUAUCUACCACCACCCUCUAGGAUUUGAAUUUAGUGACCAAUUAAAUAUAAUUAUUUGAAAAUCAUUAUGGCAGAAAAUACAUUCAACAAUCCCAUAUCUUCUACCAAAUUUGUAGCUAUUUAUUACCUUCUCACUCACAAUGCAAUACUACCAAUUCUGAAUUACAAUCCAAACCAAAUGCAUGGUCAUUCAAUAAAUGUUGGUAAUGCUAAAUUCGUGGUAAUGAUACCCAUGUAAAUUUGUAAUAAAUUUUUAAAUCAUUAUAAAUUUGUAAUAAAUUAAUAAUAACAUUCAAUUAAAGAAAUUAACCAUUUAAAAUAAAAUAAUAAAUAAAAAUUUAUAGAUUUAAUUUUUUAAUAUUGAAUUAUCUAAUUUAAAAAUCCUUUAAUUAAUUGAAACUUAAGACAUAGUUUAAUAUUAUAAUUUUAUAUUUUUUACUCAUCAUUAAUUUAUGAAUUAGGGAUUUAAAUUUUCAAUUCUUUUUUUAUUAUUUUUAUAUUUUAAUUUAAAGUUAUAUUAAGAAAAAAAAGAGGAUCAAAUCUGAUAUAAACUUUUUUUUUUAAACUCUUAUAAAAAAUCCUUGUGCAAGCUCUCAUGAGAAAGACUAAGUUGCCGAACCUAAUUAUAUGCGCAACAUUAAUUUAAAUUUUAACCACAACUUAACCUUUUUAGAAAAUUAAAAAAAGGAAAAAAAUCUAUAAUUUGGGUUCCGCAAAAAUAAGAGUUAAAAAAUAUUAAUUUAAACUUUGUCUGCACCCCAAUUUUUUUAAAAAAUAAAAAGAUUAAAAAAAACCUCUAUAAAUAUGUUUAUGUUGAGGGAAGCAACCACAUGGAUCAUGCACAUGAGCUAAAAAACUUAUCAGUAAAGUCCAUUGCAUAUCCAAAAACACUUCGUAACUAUUUUAUUCCGCAAAAUAACGAAGUACCAAUUACCACUUAUGACCUUUUCCAACAAAGGACUUCCGAUGAGAAGCCUCAUAUUAUUAAAAGGGGCAUAGCUAAUUUGCGUCAGGGGUUUGGUACCCCAGUCGCUUGUCCUAUAGUGAAUCAGCCAUUGGAUAUAAUCUCACGGCUGAAGAAGUGACACAGAGUCGAUUGCAUUUAACCGGACAAGAAGGUAAGGGCCCAGUAACAUAGAGGGGAAAAAAGAAGUUGACAAAAGUAGCCAUUUAAUGGUUGCCACGUGAGUUACGAAGACAUGUAUUGAAACAAACGCCAAGUGAAUGCAAGUAAUGGUUCAAAACAAUUUGGUGGAAGCGUGCAAGUCUGGGUUGAGGUCUUUGGCGGAAAUGGAAAAUUGGGAAAAAGUAAUUGGUGGGGGGAAAAAAGGGGAAAAUUCCAUAAUCCUGAGAUUUGAAGUAAGAAUUAAUUUAAUUUUUAUGCAUGUAGUUUAAAUAGUAGGCCACGUCAUUCACAAAAUAAUAAUAAUAAUAAUAAUAAUAAUAAUAAUAAUAAUAAUAAUAAUAAUAAUAAUAAUAAUAAUAAUAAUAAUAAUAAUAAUAAUAAUAAUAAUAAUAAUAAUAAUAAUAAUAAUAAUAAUAAUAAUAAUAAUAAUAAUAAUAAUAAUAAUAAUAAUAAUAAAUAAGCCAUGUCAUUUCCAAUUUUGAACAAUAAUAAUAAUAAUAAUAAUAAUAAACUAAUAAUGCUUAAUAUUAUAAUUAUGACGACGACGACAACGAUGAUAAUUUACGUAAUAAUAAUAAUAAUAAUAAUAAAUCAUCAACCAAAAAAUUGAGGCUUUUUUGAGAUGACGGAUCAGUUAAAAGAGGGAAAAAGAAAGAGAAAAAUAUCUUUGACACUCUAUUUUAACUAUUUUCUUUGACAGUCUCUAUUGUUUGUUGUAAGUAAUAGAAACUAUGAGUUUUAUAGUUUGUUAUAGAAUAAGACCCAAUUAAAUUAUAAUAAUUAAAAAAUUAAUAAAAUUAUUUAACAUGUUAUUCAAUAGUCCCUGUUUGUUUCGGUAAAGAGUUUAAAGUAAUAAGUGCGAAAUAAAAACAAUAGUUUUAGUGUACGAAAAAAAUUGUGUUGUAUAUAUGCAUCUCUUUUAGUCAGUAUCUUAUAUUGUAAAUCUUAAUUUAUUAAGUAUAAAGCAUAUAAUUCUCCUAAUAUAAUAAUAAUAAUCAAAUAGUCUUGUAGCCACAAUUUCCAUUUCCUUUUUCUAAUUUUAAACCACCAGCACCAGAUAGGUUGGGGGNNNNNNNNNNNNNNNNNNNNNNNNNNNNNNNNNNNNNNNNNNNNNNNNNNNNNNNNNNNNNNNNNNNNNNNNNNNNNNNNNNNNNNNNNNNNNNNNNNNNNNNNNNNNNNNNNNNNNNNNNNNNNNNNNNNNNNNNNNNNNNNNNNNNNNNNNNNNNNNNNNNNNNNNNNNNNNNNNNNNNNNNNNNNNNNNNNNNNNNNNNNNNNNNNNNNNNNNNNNNNNNNNNNNNNNNNNNNNNNNNNNNNNNNNNNNNNNNNNNNNNNNNNNNNNNNNNNNNNNNNNNNNNNNNNNNNNNNNNNNNNNNNNNNNNNNNNNNNNNNNNNNNNNNNNNNNNNNNNNNNNNNNNNNNNNNNNNNNNNNNNNNNNNNNNNNNNNNNNNNNNNGGGGGGAGGAGAUAGACAUAGACCCCCCACCCGAUAAGUAAAAGAUAACCAACAUGUGGAGGGGGACAUGAACCAGCAUAUCCAAAUUAAAUGAAUAAGUACACUUAAUUAAUAACAAAGAUCAACAAUAUUGGUGGCCAAUGACAAGAAUGAAGCCCUCUUUAUGUUGUCUAGUAACAGCUGCCCCUCGGGAAGUGAUGAACAAUACCCAUCAGACACUAGGAUGUGAUUGGAACGAAAGUCGACAUCAAUAUGAAAAUUAUAACCCACGGCAUGCCAAAUGUCCCUCUACCCAUCAAUCUUCUAGGCACAUAGGUUAGCAAAUUUUCUUUAGCAAUAAAAAAAAUUAUAUAAAUAAUAUUAGCACUGGCGUAAGAGAAAGCUAAUGUGUUAAUGCAUUUUUUGUAACCACUGUUAUGAGAAAGGAGUUGCAGCUUACUUUACAUAAGAAGAUCGAAACAAUUACGAGCUAGUGAAUGCAAUUAAAGAUGGUGGGAUUGGCUUAAAUUAGUAAAAUUUAAGUCCAAUAUAGUGUUUGGUAUGGAGGAAUAAGUAAAGUAAGAAUAAUAUAGUUUAGGUAUACAAAAUUAUAAGGUGAAAAUAAUAUUUUUUUCAAAAAAAGACCCCUAGAUAAAUAUUUUAGAGUAGUUUAUUGUCUUAUGUUAAUAAGAGAAGAUAAAAGGGUUAGGUUAGAAGCCAUAAAAGUGAGUUAAUAUGAAAAAAAUAAAAAUUGAUGGGAUAUUCUCCCAUAAUCUAUUAAUGUAAGUUAUUAGGAAAAAACUAUUUAUUCCGACUUUAACCCCGAAUCCGCGUCCCGAAUAUUGCCAGAAACGGUGUGUUUGCUUUGCUUUUCCUUUUAAUUCCAGUUGUACGGUGCGUUUUGCUCUGGUUGCUUUCCUUUUAAUUCCAGCUGUGCAGCAUGUGAGCAUUCUCUUUGUCCUUCUUUUUGCGCCUGAACUACAACACUCCGCUCAGAACUUCCAAUCUGCAGACUACAAACUGCAAAACCCCAGAGCUUCCAAACUGCAAAAUGCCAUGGUCGUUUAAAAUGUGCAGACCUAACUACUCAAUUACGCAUGGUCUUUCCUCCCCCCGAGAAAGAGAAAUGUUAACUGCUGAAAAUUUGGAACAACAAUUUCUAGAGUUUCAAUUUCCCCCGCAAGCAUUAGUUUUGAUCUUAUUCUUCCUACAUUUAGUGAUUGUUUUUAAAAUCGUGAGCAGUUUGAUUUUAAAUUUAUAAAUCUUGAGCUAUUUCAUUUUAAUUUGUGAGCUAAAUCAUGAGCAUUUGUAAAUUUAUAUAUCAACAUCAAUUAGCUUUAAAUUUUCACAGGUAUAAAAUUGUAAAUUCUUUAGCUCAUUGCUAGAAGAAAUCUUAAUCUUUCAGGCAAACAACAGAAACUUAACAAGAGAUCCUCAAGAAAGUGUAAGUUCGAGAUAAGGUGAUAAAACUCUUCAUCAAUAAACUAUAUCGAAUUCAGCUUCACUUUUAAAAUGUGCAGACUUAACUACUCAAUUAGGCAUGGUCUUUCCUCCCCCCGGAAAGAGAAUUGUUAAUUGCUGAAAACUUAGAACAAUAAUUUCUAGAGUUUCAAUUUCCUCAACAAAUAAUCUAAUUCAUAUAACCUUGAGUUUGACAGCCCUUGAGACACACAAAUGCUUCAAGUCCCAACAAUCAUAACAAAACAAAUCUUCAAGCAAGGAGCAUUCACCAGUAAGCCAUCAGACCAUCUGAUCAUUUACACACAGUAUACACAGUAUUUUCACUUAUGACUUCAAAACCUAAAUCUUUUACCAUCUUCUCAAUGGCCAAUCCCAAUCCAUUCACCAGUCAUACGAGCUGAUACUUUAACAUCUAGAAGAGUCAGGAAUACUCUCAAUUUCGGCAAAAAAACCUUACGCUUGCAGAACUGAAGCAGGGAAUCGUCUACAUAUUCCAUAAAUUUUUCAUCUUCCUUUAUUGACCAACAAUUUCCACCAUUCAACCCACUUGACCCCCAACGAAGUAAUUCAUUUUGAAAUCCACAAUAAGAAUGGCAUAUGUAACUAAUUCCAUCUCUUUGUGAGUGUCGGCUAUCGCGUGACUGUUGGUGAUGGCAACGGAGAUCUCGAUCACGUGGCGGUGGUCCGUCGUCUGUGCCGGAUGAGUGUGUAUGAAAACAAAAACAAAAUCAGAAAUCCAAAUUGCCUAACUAAUUUGGUAGAUGGAUGUUUUCUGACCGAGUCUCCGUUUGUUCCCAUAAUGGCGGUGAGAAUCCGAUCGAGUCUCGAUGACAGCUCAUUGCUACGACUCGUGACUGUGUCCCUUGAGUCUUUAUUUGAAAAUCCAAAUGCCGACGACGACGGCUGCCUCCACGAACGGUUCUGAAAUCACACCGUGCGUUGAUGACGUGGCGGUGGCGAUUAACAACAGGAACUUCAACUCGGAGGAGAGGUUCAACGACUGUGAUUUUUUGCUGAAGCGGUCGUAUUUGUUCGGAUUCGAGCGGAGUCUUGCGUCGGAGAGGAUGGUGACGGAGGCGGUAACGGCGUCGCCAUGGAGGCACAAGAGGGGGAGUUUCUGGAGCAAACGGCUGUCUCUGUUUGGCUCAUUGACGAAGUCUAGAGCCUUCUGGAGCAAAGGAUUAUAUACGUCCUUUUUGUUUUCCUUUUACUGAGAUUGUAGCUAAAGCCGGUUACCCAUUUUCUAAGUGUUAAACCUCAGCCGUUGAUUACCUUUCUUUACGAUCUAAAGGGUCAUUUGCAAAAGGACAAAUGACUGGGGUACCAAACCUCUGACGCAAUGUAGCUGGACCCUAUUAAAAGAGAUAAAGAAAAAGUCAAUUGAUAAAACGGCAGUAAACACUACAUUGGAGUAUGUGUUUCUUCCUGUCAUUUACUUUAGUCAAGCUUUCUCAUUGGAAAGUUAUUCUAUAUCUAUUUGGCGAACCCGGCAGCACUUCAUUCUAGACACAUAGAAGCAGGGGUCCUGUACCACCAACCCUGUGGCCAUCAGGAACACUGGAGUAGCAGUACAGGACAUUCGACAUUUCCCAGCUCCAGUCCUUCCUAGAGACAAGCAUAUGCAGCCAGCAGCGGUUUAUUCUAACAUAGUGCUCCCUAAUCUUUCCUUCACCAACAACACUGGUAACUAUAGAGUAACAGCAUUCAUGCCCGCCCCAUACUUCGUCACCAGGAUCUGCAGUUUGACUCCCAUCUUCAUGAAAGUAACGGUGCAUUAGAGGGCUAGUACCCUUCCAGUAGGGAUCGAGAUUAAGCCAAUACUCUGGUACCACCUGAAGGCAAAAUGGCAUUCAAAGGCAGUCAUCCGAUCAAUUGAUCAUUUCAGUUUCCAACAAAAUAGUAGAAAGCUGCAGAGUAAAGGAAAGGACACACCACGAACGCCUUGGAUGCUUGGAUGCAUGCUAAGAAAUGUUUGAAUAUAGGAUUACCAGGAUUAUCAUUUACUUGUGACCAGUCCAGGGAAUAGUUACAUUAGUGAGUGCCUGAAUUAUGAGCAAUGCCUUACAAAUAGGCAGAUUAUAAUUCAUGAGUUUCGUUCCUCAUGGACCGAAAUUUCAUUACCAAGGCUACACAUGAUCAAACUUUUAAAGCGUCAAAACAUUAAUGUUUUAUAUGUUCACAUUUCAAACUCAUGCAAGUUCUAGUAAUUUUGGCACCACGUCAAGGCCAGACUGAAAUCAAGAGGCGAGUCACCACUCACCAGACCUUACUAAUAAUUAAUAACGUAUGAGAAGCACUGCAAUAAAAUUACAUACCUUGUUAAAAUGAAACUCCCAAACAUGAUCACAAAGGUCUUCUGUCAUGAUAUGAGUCUAAGAAAUUUUUUUUUAAAAAAGAACAGAAUAGUUGGUGAUAGCUUGGUCAAACGUGCAUAUGGAAAGUGACUGAUUCAAAAGAGAGACAGGAGAACAAAGGGAGAUUGAUCAGCACUCACACGUUUGCCAUCUGUGACAGACAACGAAUAUGCGGCCAGCUUUGGUAACCCCUGGACUACAGCUGAACGAGGUAUGUGCGCUUUCCCCAACCACAGUUCCUCGCACUAAAAUAGACAGGAAACUCAAGUAAAUUAUCCUUACUCAGUUACUCUUCAAAGUAGAAGCAUGACCCAUUAUGUUACCUGGAGAACUGAAAAAAAAAAAAAAAGGAAGAUAUUCUCUUCCGGUUAGGUUUCAAAUAAAGCAGAGAAAAUAAUUGAAGUUAAAAAAAAAAAAAUUCUUCACAUCAUGCAAUCAGAACGAAUAAGCAACUUAGGCCAUAAGGCAGUAAAAACGGCAUUCACAAUUCAGUUUGGUUUUAUAUAAAAAUAUACCCCAAUCCUUUAAAUAAACCAAUAAUUUACCCAAGGUCUAGUUUCAAUGAUAAGAAAGGGCUUCCUAGGGCCCAGGAUUUUGAAAAAUAAAAUUUAUUAAAAGUGAAAAAUAUUUAAAGAAAGCAGUACCUUAAAAGAGAAAUAAAAUAUAUUAAUGUUUUAAAAUUGAAAAAUAUUGUAGAAUUUUCUUUUAUUCAUAUUCUAUUUAUAUUACAUACUGCUGUACGGCCAAGGCGGAUGCCCCUAAAUUCAGUUUGGUUUUAUAUAAAAAUAUACCUCAAUCCUUUAAAUAAACCAAUAAUUUAGCCAAUGUCUAGUUUCAAUGAUAAGAAAGGGCUUCCUAGGGCCCAGGAUUUAAAAAAAUAAAAUAUACCAACAAUAUACCCCAACUAAGUCACUUUACAUAGAUAUACCCUUAAGGGGUGAACAAAGACAAAUAGAUACUAGACAAAUAAUAUUCAGUUUAAAUCGAGAAUACUCAGACGAAUUCAAGUUGGUCAAGAAAGCCAAGUCGAGUAGUAAAUUGAGUCAAAUAAUAAGUCCAGUAUUCAUAUAAUGCUCCUGACGGACAAGAAAUCCUGUAAGCUGGAUUUAGAUCCAGUACUGAGCUUAGCUGUGCUCAUCUCUUCAUAAUCAUCUACCACACAUGCAUGUAUAGCAAUUUAAGGUGAAGAUUUAAUUAAUUUUAUAUUCUUGUCUUUCUAAAAGAUUAACAAAAACCCCAGCUCAGCGCUGAAUACAAAUUCCUGUAAACUAGGAACAUAAAACUCGAUGAUGACAUGAAAAGCUUAAAUUCAAAUUCAAUUGUAUUCAUGAUAUGAUUAUUUCAAACAACCAAAAACACUUAAAACAAAAACCCAAUUGUGAAACUAAAAAAACCCAAUUCUCAUGUUCUCCGAAGAAAGCACUAAAUUAAUUAAUUAAAUUUAAAACAAAAGAAACAAACCUAAAUUCAGGUACGAGGCAACAAGAUUGGGGAAAAAAAAGAAAGAAUAGGAAAGGAAAUGAACCUUGGGAGUCCAAAGCGUGUCGCUUGAAGCGACGCCGUUCCAAGCACGGGAUACAAGGAGAGUCAGUGCUACGCUGUGUGCUUUUAGGUUUUGAAGUAUCAUCAACAUUAUGUCUCUACCAAAAGCCUCCAGUGGGUCCUGCAAUAAUUCUUCAGUUUCUUCUUCUUCGAGUUUUUCUUUUCUUUCCUCUCGCUUUCUCUCCUUUAUCAGUUUCAUCUUCGUCUUCUUCUUCUUCGGUAAAACGACAUCGUUUUCCUGUUCUUCUAUUUCUCGCAGUUCCAUUCUGCAUGGUAGUAGCUAUUACUACAGAGCAAGUAGGUUAAAAAACUAGUACUUUUUGACUUAUUAUUUUACUCGAUUUUAUCGAUUAUCACUUGAUUUAUUAUUCAACUUUGUUAGUUUAUAAUGGUCCGAUAAUGCAUUCUUGCCACGCCGAGCUCCAAAACAAAAUCAUCCUUCAAUUGAAGGACGAAAAUCGGGGGUUUGACCUCUGACUCAAAUACGUGGCAAGAUACUGAGUGAUUGCUUGGCAAAACAGCAAGUCCAUGACUUGGUUAUUUAUUGUGAUAAUUUAGAGGUGGCAAAACCGAUGACAAAGUGGUUUUCGUUGCCAUGUGAAAUUUAAAAUAUCAUUAGAGUAAUUUAGAUAUUUAUUUAAUAAUUGUAUUAAAUAUUAAAAUUUCAAGUUUGAUAUGCAAAAUAAACAAUUGACACAACGUAACUCAUUAAUUAAUAAUUGUGUCAUGACUUACUUAAUAAUCCAUUUAAUUAAUACUCAUUUAACAUGAUUUAUAUCAAUCAUUUUUGCCCCUAUUUGAUAAAAAUUUUACAAUUUUUAUAUAUUUAAAUAAUAUUAUAUAUCGAUAUCAUAAAAAUAUACAUAUCUAUUGAAAUAUUACAUAUUUACACCAUUCAAGUUUUAAAUCCAUCUAGAAUUUUAUGAAAUAGAAUAGCACAUAAAUGUUUAUCCUUCGUAGUAAUCAUUUCAUUAAUUGAGUAGAUGGGUCAAAUUUUAUGAAAUAGAAUAACACAACCUAUUUAAUAAUUGUGUCAAAUUUAAUAAUCUAAAUCUAUUUUUUCAUGUUGUGUUCAUGUGUUGCUAAAUGGAUUGUAUAAAAUUUUGUUAGUUGUGUUUAUAAUAUAUUAUAAAUUUAAAGGAGAUUUGCUUCCAAUACGAGAAUUAUAGAGUUCAGGUGUCUAUUACAUAUGUGUCAUGUAAGGCAUCGUCCGACACAACGUAGCUAGACUCGUCAUGUAAAUAUAUUAUUCUUUCUAGCAGAUCUCUCUUGCCCCCCUCUUACUUGUGUAAAAAGCAUUAAUGUCAUUAAUACCAACGGGUGAAUACAAAUGUGCUAGAAAUUUUUUCUUUUUUUUUUUUCUCACAGGGAUAUAAUUUCACACCAACAACAACAUAAUAGUACAACAACUAGUCCAUAACAGACUUGGAGAUCAAUCUAUAGAUAAUCUGAUAAGAAGAUCACAAUGCAUCCGAGACUCUAUUAAAGAGCAUCUCCAUUAUCAUGCAUCCAACAUGCUCAAGCUCUACUGGGAACAUCUUUAAUACAAUGUCUAGAUCAAGUUGUAUGUAUACUUUCAGGUUUAUUUAUUUAUUUAUUUAUUUUAUUCCACCCUAUGGGGUGGUUGUGUUUUCUGUUGCUGAUGUGUUCAUCUUUCAGAUUUGGUACCUGCGUGGGUAAGAUUUGGCAAAUAGGAGACCAUGAAUCAUUUUCUAAUGUUGAUCAGUUACAUUGCUGGUUGUAUUUUGAACCUAAAUUAUAUGUAUUUAAUCAAUCUUCUGGGAGUAAAUUUAUAAUUUACCUAGCAAGAACAAAAAUCCCUUAGCGACAUCUGAAUUGAUUGUGUACAUGUUAAAAAGAUGUGUAUAAAUCAUUACGUGAUACUUUAGUAUACUGAUAUUUUUCCUAAUACGUCGGCAUGAGAAAUCAAUUAUUCGUUUAUCUGUACAUUCGUCUAAAUAUUUGUGUAAUUGUCUGUGAUAGCUCACUAUUAUAUCCUUAUAAGUUGAAUAAAUUAAAAGAUAUAUACAUACAUACACUCACACACACACACGUAAUCAUUUUCAGGCGCGGAUGCCUUCAUUUGUUUUAAUGCGAACAUGCUCUUACGUUGUGCGGUUUAAUAACGUUAUGCACUAACUUUAUUGAACCACACCCGUACUAAAGAAGAAUUAUACAUAUAUAUACACACACACACACAUAAAAUUCAUGCAAACUAAGGUUUUUAUUUAAGCAAUUCACAUUUUAACAAUAAAGGCUCUUCACUCUUGUUUGGUAGUGUAAUUGGAUGGAUGGUUUUGCUUCAAUAUUCUCUGUCUCGCUCUUUCGUUUAUAGUUUUUCCCAACUAAUUGAGAGGAAACAAAAACUGUUUGCCUAACGGCCGAACAUGUCCGCCGUAUAUAUAUUGGGAUCAGUGUAAGUUACAUAAGUAUUAACAGCUGACCGUGUUUUUAAUUACUUUUGUUUAUUAUUAACUUUUAAUGAGAAAUCUAAUUACACUGAUAAUUUGAGAAAAUUUCAUAUAUUUUCUUUACAUUUCAAAAAUGAAAAACUAAGUUAACACUGUUGGACCAAAAAUAUUAUGGGUCGAACUAAAAUUCAAAUAAAUAUUGCCUAAACAAAGCCGAAGAUGAGUUCUUAGGAUGCAAAGAGAACACAACAUUAAAAUAUGUGAUUAUUCAUGUCUUUGAGUUUGAUCGAGCUUUCUCAUUGGAUAGUUAUUCUAUAUUUAGAAAGUAUUUGGCAAACCCAGCAGUAGUUCAUUCUAGACGCAUACAAGCAGGGGUCUUGUACCACCAAGGCACCAACCCUGUGGCCAUCAGGAACAGUGGAGUAGCAGACUCUCUUAAUAAUGUAUAACAAGCACCAUACUAAAAUUACAUACCUAAUUAAAAUGAAGCUCCCAAACAUGAUCACAAAGGUCUUCUUUAGUGAUAUGAGUCUACCAGAAUCAUACAAAUGAAGAACAGAAUAGUUAGUGAAAGCUCGUGCGCACGUGUAUAUAAAAAGUGAGCGAAUGAAAAGAGAGAUGGGAGAAGCACUCACACGUUUGCCAUCCAUUACAGACAACGAAUAUGCGGCCAACUUUGGUAACCCCUUGAUUAGAGCUAAACGAGGUAUGUGUGCUUUCCCAAACCAUAGUUUCUCGCACUAAAAUGGACAGGAAAUUCAAGUAAAUUAUCCUUACUUAGUUACUCUUCAAAGUAGAAGCAUUUACACAUUAAGUUACCUCAAGAACUGAAAAAUAAAAAACAGGUAGAUAUUCUUUUCUAGUUGUGUUUCAAAUAAAGCUGAGAAAAUAAUUGAAGUUAAAUAAAUAAAUUAAAAAAAAAACUUCACGAAUCAUGCAGCCAGAAUAAAUAAGCAACUUUGGCAGCAAGGCAGUAAAAUCCCGCAUUGGCAUUCACAAUUCAGUUUGUAUAUAAAAUAUACCCCAUAAAUAUACCAAUAUACCAAGGGUACAGCCAAGGUCUAGCUGCAAUGGUAAGAGCUGCCUGAGCCCUAUUUUAAAAAAUAAAAUAUAAAACAACGUACCCAAACUAACUCACUUUAUUUUAAAUAUACCCUUAAGAGGUGAACAAAAGAUAGUAGACUAACAAUGGAGUGAUAUUUUAUUAAUAAUAAUUAUAUUUAUAAUUUUAACAAAUUGUUCAUUUAAAAUAUGAAUGAGAAUACAAAGUUGUAUAAAUGUUUUUUUAAAAAAAAGAAAUAUCUCAUUAAUUUAUCAAAAUCAUUAAGGUGGCGUUUAUUUUUUUGUCUAAAAUCUGAAUAAACCUAAAUUAGUAUGAAUUCUGAAUAGAACUGAAUGUCUAAAUUUGAAUUAUAUGUUUAUUUUUUUUGUCUGAAUAGCUAGAAAUAAAUAUUAAGUUGUUUGUUUUUUUGACUGAAAAAAUCUGAAAACUAAUAUUUUUACAUUUAUGCCCUUACAAAUUAUAAUGUUAAACAAAUAAUAAACAUAUCAAAGAAAAUAAAUAAGGUAAUAAAUUAUCAUAACAUAAAUCAUAUUCAAUUGAGUUCAACUCUUUAAUAUUUUAUAUCAUAUAUGUUAAUCAAUUUUAUUAUAGUUUGUGAUGUUUUUAUAUGAAAAAUAUUCAUAAAAAAUUAUGAAGAUAAAUAAUGCUAAUUUGAACAAAAUAAAAAUAAAAAAUAAUAAUAGGCUACCACUAUAUAUUAUCACAAGUUAUAUACAAAUGAGUAAUAAUGCUAAUUAUUAAAUUUUAUUUAGCUAAGGAUGAAAAUUAAUUAAUUAAAUAGGGAUAUUUUAGAAAAUAUCUUUUAAUGAUAGCAUUCAAAUUUUUUAGAUUAAUUAAAAAGCUAAAAAAAUUAGCUUAAUAACUUAAUUGCUAAAAAUCUUCAUUAAAUUUAAAAAACAAACAGACUUAAUGGCUUAACUAAUUAAAAUUAAGUCAAUUAAGUUAUUAAGUAAAAAAUAAAUAAACUGCCACUAAGUUCGUCUAUUAGUCAAAAUUAAAAUGAUAAAAAAUCAUUAAAUAAUAAAAAUUCUUAAUUUAUCUUUUAUUGUUUAUAGUAGUUGUGACACAUAUAUUAAUUAAAAUUUAUUAUGACCGUAAUUUUCAGUAUUUCACAAAUCCCCUCUCUGUUUCUUUUCUUUUGUUGUGCGUUUUGGUUAUUUGUUGGGGAGAUAGGCCCCCUGAUGCGACUAACAGUUACAAGCGACAUAUCUAGUAAGUAGUAGCAAGAGAAUCUAACUCACAAUGAGUAGAGACUACAGAGUCUACAAUCAAAAUUCCUUUUUUUAAAAAAAAAAUGAGUAAUUUUCUUUUUCAUCCACUUUCCUUUUUUGUGGUCAUAACUCAUAAGGGUGACAAUCACCGAAUCCAAAGUGGCUUCCUCACAGCCAGCAACCAUCCACUUGCCAUUGGUUUAAUGUGGGAGUGGAGUCGUGUCUUCUGAAAGUCAAAAUAAAGUUAGAAGGAAACAAAUUCUCAAUGUGGGUUCUUAAAUCAAUUUCAGGACAACCACAUGAUUUCGUUGAUGUGUUUAUUUUUUAUAUUUAAAAAAUGAGGAAUGAGAAUUGUUAAUAAUAUUUACUUGCUAAAAAUACAAAGAAAUAUAAAUAAAUUUUGAGUGAGUUGCAUAUAUUUGAGAAUGAGUAGGAAUUUCAUUUGGAUAGAAGAGGUGGGAAUAAGAAUGGAGAAUUGAGAAUAAAGAGUAAAACUUGUUUAUCUUUAUUGAAAAUUAAAACUUGCUUUUUACUCCAUUUUGGUAACUUACAACCAUCUAUUUUGAUUUUAACACAAAAUAAACACAUCAAAUUUGAAAUACAGUUGAUUUCGAUCUCGAUUCUUGUAGUUGAAGUAGAAAAUUUAUUCUUCUACAUUUUGAUUCCAACCCAUAAUAACUCUUGACUAUUAGGAUUCUUAGUUAAUAAAUGCACUAUUAAUGUACUGUCAAAGAGUAAAACUUGUUUAUCUUUAUUGAAAAUUAAAACUUUCUUUUUACUCCAUUUUGGUAACUUACAACCAUCUAUUUUGAUUUUAACACAAAAUAAACACAUCAAAUUUGAAAUACAGUUGAUUUCGAUCUCGAUUCUUGUAGUUGAAGUAGAAAAUUUAUUCUUCCACAUUUUGAUUCCAACCCAUAAUAACUCUUGACUAUUAGGAUUCUUAGUUAAUAAAUGCACUAUUAAUGUACUGUCAAAGAGUAAAACUUGUUUAUCUUUAUUGAAAAUUAAAACUUUCUUUUUACUCCAUUUUGGUAACUUACAACCAUCUAUUUUGAUUUUAAGACAAAAUAAACACAUCAAAUUUGAAAUACUGUUGAUUUCGAUCUGGAUUCUUGUAGUUGAAGUAGAAAAUUUAUUCUUCCACAUUUUGAUUCCAACCCAUAAUAACUCUUGACUAUUAGGAUUCUUAGUUAAUAAAUGCACUAUUAAUGUACUGUCAAAGAGACUCUGUUUUUUAGUUUCAAUCUAAUUCAUCUCAAAUCUCUCACAUAUUGAAUACCUUGUUGCUUGUUAAAAUUUAUUAAAGAUAUUUAAAAAAGAAUUUACGGACAAAACUAGCUGCCAUCUAUGUAAAUAUAUUAAAAUUCUUUUUCUAGUUAGUGCUUCUUAAAAAGAAUCUACCUUAGCCAACCCAAAUCAAUUUUUUCCCCUCAACCAUUGUUAGUUUUCAAUGGUUGCAAUAAUUCCUCCAAAGUAACGUCCCUCCCUUUUGGUCUUUCUCGGUCUUAAUUCAACUCAUUUGGUGACGUAGGAUUUGACUUUAAAAUGAUGUGUCAUUAUCUCUAUUGAAUGGUAAAUUUUAAUUUACUUAUAUAAGUACUCAUUUUCUUAGCCCAUUAGUACAACCUUUGAGUCCUAAUUAUUAUUGGACCCGGUUUCCCUUCUAAUUAAAUUGGAUAGGAGUAAAUUUCUUCUCCAUUAAUAUGAGUAGAGCAAACAUCCCUAUAAUAUUAUGUGAGGGUAGAAAUUCAAACUAUGUCAUACUAGACUUAUUAAGAAUAGUUUUGAUAAAUUUUUUAUUGUAAAUAUUAAUAAAAUUCUGAUGACAAUAUAUUAACCUAUUAAAACAAACAUAUUAUAUAUAUAUAUAUAUAUAUAUAGACACCACCCUUAAACACGCAUCAUAGGUUUUCUUUAAUCAUAUCUAAUUAAAGAUUUCUAAUGACGCAUUAUACAAAGAGAUAAAAUUUUUCAAUUUUUUUUUUGACAAAGUAAUCAAGAUUUUAUUCAAUCAACAUAAGAAAGUACAAACAAUUUGAAAUAUUAAAUUUGAUUUUGACUUUCUCUCACCAAUUCAAUCUAAUUAUUAACAGCAAAGUAGACCUGCCUGUUUCUCAAAUUUGAUUUUCAUUAAAACAUCAGUGAUCAAUGUACAAUUAAAAUAAUAAUUCAUUAUUAGCAAAGAUUGAGUAAAUUAGUUAAUGUUUAUGUUAAAAUGAAAAUCAAUCAUUUUAUUGAUAAACAAAGAUGGUGACUCACUACAAUCAAUUACUUUUGUCCUACUCCGUAAUAGACAAUCUGAUGAUCAAAAUCACAAGCAAGAAAAAGCUCAAGCCAAUUAAACAAGUGAUAAUAGCAAGGCCUAAAGAAGGUACUAACAUUGCAUACGUUCCCGUAACGAAUGCAAUCACCAUUGCUCCCAUGGAAAAUAUGGUGAACCAAACUGAAGCACCAAACAGAGCCUCAUUGAAAUCUUUAGUUUCUUCAAUUAGAAGAGACAAGCAGAAGUGAGUAAAGACGGCAGAAAGAGAAAAGACCAUGGCAAUGGAAUCUGCUACUAUAAAUGCUUGAAAAGCUGUAUUUCUCCUCAGGAUUGCAGUUCCAUUUUCGCUUCUAUAACCGCCAGGAAUGGUGAAAGCUGCUGCGAAGGCUACUGUUGCUAUGAGUGCAGCCACUACCAAAU
Molecule: long non-coding RNA, 27834 nt
Filed under: Citrus sinensis (sweet orange)
Lineage: Eukaryota; Viridiplantae; Streptophyta; Magnoliopsida; Sapindales; Rutaceae
Description: long non-coding RNA (CSIN_LNC004385)
Source: RNAcentral